RNAcentral lists this ribosomal RNA (253 nucleotides) under uncultured bacterium. RNAcentral's name for it is "partial 16S ribosomal RNA". It matches the Rfam family "Bacterial small subunit ribosomal RNA", at positions 524 to 776 of the family's 1533-position model. The record is from RNAcentral.
UACGGAGGGAGCUAGCGUUGUUCGGAAUUACUGGGCGUAAAGCGUGCGUAGACGGUUAUUUAAGUCGGAUGUGAAAGCCCCGGGCUCAACCUGGGAAUUGCAUUCGAGACUGAAUAGCUAGGGUGCGGUAGAGGGAAGCGGAAUUUCCGGUGUAGCGGUGAAAUGCGUAGAUAUCGGAAGGAACAUCAGUGGCGAAAGCGGCUUCCUGGACCAGCACCGACGUUCAGGCACGAAAGCGUGGGGAGCAAACAGG